AGGAAAUAGAUCCCCGGUAGUCCACGCUGUAAACGAUGAGUGCUGGACGUUGGCGGGUUUACCUGCCGGUGUCGCAGCUAAACGCGUUAAGCACUCCGCCUGGGGAGUACGGCCGCAAGGUUAAAACUCAAAGGAAUUGACGGGGCCCGGCACAAGCGGUGGAGCAUGUGGUUUAAUUCGACGCAACGCGCAGAACCUUACCAGCCCUUGACAUGGGCGGACGGGGUCCGAGAGAUGGACUCUUUCUUCGCAGAGACCGCUACACAGGUGCUGCAUGGCGUGUCGUCAGCUCGUGUCGUGAGAUGUUGGGUUAAGUCCCGCAACGAGUCGCAA
RNAcentral lists this ribosomal RNA (333 nucleotides) under uncultured bacterium. Its description in RNAcentral is "bacterial SSU rRNA". It matches the Rfam family "Bacterial small subunit ribosomal RNA", at positions 773 to 1101 of the family's 1533-position model. The record is from RNAcentral.